AACGAACGCUGGCGGCAGGCUUAACACAUGCAAGUCGAACGCGUGUAGCAAUACACGAGUGGCGCACGGGUGAGUAACGCGUGGAUAUCUGCCUUUUGGGUUCGGAAUAACCCCGGGAAACUGGGGCUAAUACCGGAUGGUUCCUUCGGGAUAAAGAUUUAUCGCCAAAAGAUGAGUCCGCGUCCGAUUAGCUAGUUGGUGAGGUAAUGGCUCACCAAGGCGACGAUCGGUAGCU
RNAcentral lists this ribosomal RNA (235 nucleotides) under uncultured bacterium. RNAcentral describes it as "partial 16S ribosomal RNA". It matches the Rfam family "Bacterial small subunit ribosomal RNA", at positions 29 to 288 of the family's 1533-position model. The record is from RNAcentral.